RNAcentral lists this small RNA (123 nucleotides) under Marmota monax (woodchuck). The record is from RNAcentral. Lineage: Eukaryota; Metazoa; Chordata; Mammalia; Rodentia; Sciuridae.
GCUGGGUGCGGUGGCACACCUGUAAUCCCAGUGACUUGGGAGGCUGAAGCAGGAGGUUAGCGAGUUCAAAACCAGCCUCAGUGAAAGAGAGGCACUUAGCAACUGGGUGAGAUCCUGUCUCUA